This 512-nucleotide ribosomal RNA is filed under the name uncultured bacterium. RNAcentral's name for it is "bacterial SSU rRNA". It matches the Rfam family "Bacterial small subunit ribosomal RNA", at positions 28 to 523 of the family's 1533-position model. The record is from RNAcentral.
GACGAACGCUGGCGGCGUGCCUAAUACAUGCAAGUCGAGCGGACCAAAGGGAGCUUGCUCCUGGAGGUUAGCGGCGAACGGGUGAGUAACACGUGGGCAACCUGCCUGUAAGACUGGGAUAACAUCGAGAAAUCGGUGCUAAUACCGGAUAAUAAAAAGAACUGCAUGGUUCUUUUUUGAAAGAUGGUUUCGGCUAUCACUUACAGAUGGGCCCGCGGCGCAUUAGCUAGUUGGUGAGGUAACGGCUCACCAAGGCAACGAUGCGUAGCCGACCUGAGAGGGUGAUCGGCCACACUGGGACUGAGACACGGCCCAGACUCCUACGGGAGGCAGCAGUAGGGAAUCUUCCGCAAUGGACGAAAGUCUGACGGAGCAACGCCGCGUGAGUGAUGAAGGUUUUCGGAUCGUAAAACUCUGUUGUUAGGGAAGAACAAGUGCCGUUCGAAAGGGCGGCACCUUGACGGUACCUAACGAGAAAGCCACGGCUAACUACGUGCCAGCAGCCGCGGUAA